CAGGCCCCGCCCGCGGCUAACGGUCAGCGGCGCCGGCGUUCCGGGGCUGUUGGCGCCCAGGAAAUGGUUUGGGAAGCGUGGACGACUCGCUCCCGCCCCAGGCCGUCUCGCGGAAGAGUUCAAGCUGCUCUCGGCCUCGGGAAGCUGUCUGGAGCCCGCGCUCUGGACGGUUUCCCACCUGGCAGUAGAGUCGCUUGGGAGUCCAGGCGCUGGAGGGGUUACCCGUCGUUUGUAGGGAGAGGCGGAGGCUGAGCGCCCUGGUCUGGCCAGAGCUACCCAGACGGACCAGACCCCCUCAUCCCUGCUGCCCAGCACCCGCACACACCUGGGCGUGGGGAGUGAGUUGCCGCGUUGUCCCCUUUGCGGUUUUCUGAAGUUCAAACUAGAAUUGCAAUCUAUUUGGUUAAGCCCGAGCCAGCUGCUCCUGACGGCGUAUUAAGAACUCAGUGCCUCCCCCGAUCUGAAAUUGCAUUUUCAACAGUUAGAUGGAAAUCCUAACUACUAACCAUGUUUCACAUUAUUCGCGUGUUAUCACUGACCGCCGUUCGGUUGGCACCCAUUUGGCUGUCCCAAAUCUCAGUGGAGGCCUGGUGUGGAAGAGCCCUUUUUUAGCGGUGUGGUUAUGCCAUUUUCCUGAUCUGGGCCUCUGGCGGUAUCUUGGGUGUGAAUUUGGUGUGGAUCGUGGCCUUUCACCCUGUGCUCCUGGCGUUGUUGCCCAUGUGAUUGUGAUGUUUCACCUGCAGGCCUUUCUAGUCUGCCGGUGAGCCCAGCUUAUGGCACCAGGAAACAGGUGCAGAACAGGAGCAGUUCCCGUCCGAAACCUGGCUACUCACAGGACCCGGGGCCAUGACUGCUGCUGCUUUUCACCUGGAGACACAGAGGUUCCCUUUUCCCUGCCAGUUUCUGCCCCUGUCUUUGGAGCAACUGGAACUGAGAGCUGAAGGCUGAGGCUGAUUGACAGAGUAACCAGAAAGUGAAAACCAAAGGAAGAUGGUGUCCUGAAUAGAGUGGACUCUUGAGCCAUUUUUGUGAGGAGACGCCACUCCAUAGAAGGGACAUCAGUUGUGUUCAGGAGGACAGGUACGUAGUGCGUGCUUUGGGCUGGCAGUUCAGAGAGCUGGUCUGUGCAAAUCACGAUUCUCUAGUACCAAGGAGUAAAAAGAUGUGGAAAAGUUACUUAGCUCGAAAUUACUAGUCAUGUUAUUUGAAGUAGAGGAUUCUCAAAUUUGGUUCCCUUAACUUUAUGGAAAGAGGAACAGUGAUCCCCACAAUUAUUGUCAUAUGUUAAAGCUCAUUAAUUCAUUGGCAAGACAAAGAGAAUGGAAUAGCAGCCAGACCAACACUCUGGCUUGAUCAUGGUGAGCAGGUCCAUGAUCUGGUGGUGACCUCGCUGGGAGAACGUGAUGAAAAUACUUUCCGCAUUAUGAAGUGACACUUAAAUAAGUUUUGAUUUUUAUAAAAACAAAAUUUGCAUUGCUCAAACUGAAUAGGGUCAAGAGCCCCUUUCUGUCACUUUGUGGACAUUACCAAGGAAGCCUACCUGUUCAGAGCCAGUGCUAGAGGUUCCUGGUUGGGGAAGGAGCACUUAUUGAAGCAAAAGUUUAACAAAAGUGAUGUUUUUGUUUCUUUUCUUGUCUAGGAAUUCAUUCUUAGUAUUUAACCAUACUAGAAAAGCCAUAUAUGGUAUAUAUUUUGGCUUCCCCCCCACCAUGGACACACAUUAUUUGGGAAUCUCUGUCUUGGUUAUCAUAAAGACUAAAAAUCUGAAGCUUUGGUGUUGUAAGCCCUUACCUUUUUUUUUUUUUUUUAAUUUAAAUUCAAGUUAGUGUAGUGUUGGUUUCAGGAGUAGAGCCCAGUGAUUCAUCACUCCCAUAUAACACCCAGCGCUCAUCCCAACAAGUGCCCUCCUUAAUGCCCAUAACCCAUUUAGCCCAUCCCCCCCCACCGACCUCCCCUCCAGCAACCCUCAGUUUAUUAUCUGUACUUAAGAGUCUUUUAUGGUUUGCCUCCCUCUCUGUUUUUAUGUUAUUUUUCCUUCCCUUCCCCUAUGCUCAUCUGUUUUGUUUCUUAAAUUCCACAUGUGCGUGAAAUCAUAUGGUAUUUGUCUUUCUCUGACUGAAUUAAUUUGCUUAGCAUAAUAAUACUUUAGUUCCAUCCACAUUGCAAAUGGCAAAAUUUUAUUCUUUUUGAUCACUGAGUAAUAUUCCAUUGCAUAUAAGAUAAAAAGCUUCUGCACAGCAAAGGAAACAAUCAGUAGAACUAAAAGGCAACAGACAGAAUGGGAGAAGAUAUCUGCAAAGGAUAUAUUGGAUAAAGCGUUGGUAUCCAAAAUCUAUAAAGAACAUAUCAAGCUCAACAACCCAAAACCACAUAAUCCGGUGAAGAAAUGGGUGGAAGACAUGAAUAGAUACUUUUCCAAAGAAGACAUCCGGGUGGCCAACAGACACAUGAAAAGAUGCUCAACAUCACUCAUCAUCAGAGAAAUGUAAAUCAAAGCCACAAUGAGGUACCACCUCACGCUGGUCACAAUGGCUAAACUGAACAACUCAGGAAACAACAGGUGUUGGCGAGGAUGUGGAGAAAGGGGAACACUUUUGCACUGUUGAUGGGAAUGCAAACUGGUGCAGCCACUCUGGAAAACAGUAUGGAGGUUCCUCAAAGAAUUAAAAAUAGAACUAUCCUAUGACCCAGUAAUUGCACUACUAGGUAUUUAUCCAAAGGAUGGAAAAAUGCUGAUUCGAAGGGGCACAUGUACCCCAAUAUUUAUAGCAACACUAUCAACAAUAGUCAAAUUAUGGAAAGAACCCAAAUGUCCAUUGAAUGAUGACUAAAGAAGAUGUGGUAUGUAUAUACAAUGUAAGCCCUUAUCUUGGUAUUUAACAGCUACUAGAACUCAUUUGUCCUCUUAUAAAUGACAGACUGAAAAUACUUUCAUUUUUUUUUACAGAAGUUAUGUGAUUCAUUGUUACUUGUAGUUCUUAUUUAUUUUUCUUCAGAUUUGAAAACUUAGUAAUUAAUAAUUGUGAUUUUGAUGAUUAUGUUCAGUCCAUAACAAGUUAUAUUUAUUUUCUUUUUAUGUUGCUGAGAUAGUAUUGCCUUUUUUUAAGUUUAUUUAUUUUAAGAGAGAAAAAGUUAGCAUAUGUGCAUGCACAGGGAAGGAGCAGAGAGAGAGGAGAGAGAGAGAAUCCAAAGCAUGCUCCACACCAUCAACAUGGAGCCCGACGUGGGACUUGAACUCGUGAACCAUGAGAUCAUGACCUGAGCUGAAAUCAAGAGUUCGACACCCAACUGACUGAGCCACCCAGGCACCCCACUGUGUUGCUUUUUAAAAUAAAUUAAUCGAGCGGCGCCUGGGUGGCUCAGCCCAUUAAGUGUCCGACUUCAGCUCAGGUCAUGAUCUCACAGUUUGUGAGUUCGGGCCUCGCAUCGGGCUCUGUGCUGAAAGGUCAGAGCCUGGAGCCUGCUUCGGAUUCUGUGUCUCCCUCUCUCCCUGCCGCUCCCCUACUUGUGCACUCUCUCUCCGUCUCUUUCUCAAAUAUAAACAUUAAAUUUUUUUUUUAAUUUAUAAAAUAAAUUAAUCAAGAAUGUUGCUUUUGGUAUGGAGGAUUAAGAUCUUAACAAAUCUGCUGUCUAACAGAUAACAGUUACAAAGUCUGGACAAAAUAAAAAGUACCUGAAGUAUCUGGAGCUUGAAUAGAGGUUUCAAAAGGGAGUCGUAACGUGGCAGAAAGGUCCGACGAGGGGUGUGUGCCCCAGUAUUUCAGCUUUACUCAGAUAACGGACCAUAGUCACAGCAUGACACGCGGUGGUUGAAGUGCUAGUGAAAAACCAACCAGGCUUCUGGCCUGAGGAACCAAAAACUAGAGUUUAGGACAAACAUGGCAACCCAAAAGAAAGGGAGGGAAUUGUGAAGAGGAGAGAGGUAGAGAAAAAGAUCCCCAGGUUUUUGUGCAGAGUCUAACCACGUCUCUGGCUGACCCUUCCACCAGCCGCAAAGCACCUCAAAAAGGACAGAAGAAAUCAGAUGAGCUUUGAGCUGUUGCCUGUGUCCAAAAGAGACAGUUUGCAGUUUGAGUCUCACCAAAUUAAUUCACUGCCAAAGCACAAAAACAUCAACAUUCAUUGGAGAAAGAGGUUACACACACACACACACACACACACACACACACACACACAAACACCCUCUCCAUCCUUUAGACAGAGAAUUGAGAGUCUCGGUAAAACAUAAUAUAUAAGGGGGCACCUGGGUGGCUCAGUUGGUUAAAGUCUGACUUCAGGUCAGGCCAUGAUGUCACAGUUCAUGGGUUCAAGCCCUGCGUCGGGCUCUGUGCUGACAGCUUGGAGCCUGGAGCCUGCUUCCGAUUCUGUGUCUCCCUCUCUCUAUAUCCCAACCCUCCCUCUCUCUUGCUCUCUCUCUCUUUCUCAAAAAAAAAAAAAAACACAUUAAAAACAAACAUAAUAUGUAGGAAUACAAUCCCAAAUUACUCGAUAUAUAAAGAACCAGGAAAAUAUGACCUCUUACCAAGAGAAAAGACAGGCCAGAUGAAGAUGUUAGAAUCCAUUAGACAAGAACAUUAAAGUGUCUGUGAUAACUAAGCUCUGUGAAGUAAAGGAAACCAUACUUGUAGUAAGCAAAAUGGAAGAACCUCCACAGAUAAUUAUAAAACAUAAUAACAAAAUGAAAAAAAAAUCAAGCUUAAACAUUCAGUAUUUGAAAUGAAAAAGUCAUUGACUUGGCUUUAUAGUAGGGUACGUAUUGUGUAAAGGAAAAACUUUCACACUGUCUUGUGGGGUAUGUAUCUAUUUAGAUGUAACACAUGACACAACGGAGCAUGGUGAUGGCAGGGGCCAGUAAAUGGAACCAAAUGAUUGCAUGGUAACUACAUUUGAUGGGAAAGUGCUGUAGUAACUUGAAAAGUAGACUGUGUGAACAAUGUUUAUUUUAAUUUCUAGUAUAACCACUAAAGAAAGUUGUGCAAAAAGUAUAGCUAAAAAGCCAAUAGGUAAUCUUUAUUAAAAACCAAAAAAAUCCAGGGGUGCCUGGGUGGCCUAUUCGGUUAAGCAUCCAACUUCAGUUCAGGUCAUGAUCUCGUGGUUUGUGAGUUUGAGACCUGUGUCAGGUUCUGUGCUGAUAGCUUGGAGCCUGGAGCCUGCUUCAGAUUCUUUGUCACCCAUUCUGCCCUCCCUCCCUUGCUUGUGCUCUGUCUCUCUCUCUAUCUAUUUAAAGAAUAAAUAAACAUUUAAAAUUUUUAAAAAGUUAAAAUCCAAAAGUAGGCAGAAAAGGAGGAGUUUUUUUAAAAAAAAGAAUAUAAAAUACAAAUAAUAAAAUGGGUAACUUAAAUCCAAACGUAUCAAAAACUACUUUAAAUAUUAGUGGAUCAAAUAUUCCAAUUAAAAGGCAGAAAUUAACAAAAUGAAAUAAAAAAGAAUACCCAAAUAUGCUAUAUGUAAGAGAUGUGCUUUAAAUAUAAACACACAUGUAGGCUGAAAGCAAAUAGAUGGAAAGAGAAGACAUACCAUGUGCCAUGGACUGAAUGUUUGUUUCCACCCCCCCCCCAUUCAUAUAUUGAAAUCUUAACCCCCAAUUAGGAAGUGAGGCCUUCUGGGGGGUGAUUAGGUCAUGAAGGUGGAGCCCUCAUGAUGAAAUUAAUGCCCUUAUUAUAUAUUAUGGCCCCAGAGAGUUCUCUAGUCCCCUUUCCAUUAUAUGAGGAUACAAGAAGCCAGCAACCUGCAACCCUGAAGAGGUCCCUCACCAGAACUUGAUCAUGCUUACACCCUGACCUUAGACUUCCAGCCCCGAGAAUGGUGAGAAAUAAGUUCCUGUUAUUUUUAAGCCAACCAGUCUGUGGUAUUCUGUUAAAGCAUGUAAAUAAGCAUAGAAAGGCCACAGUGGUUAUUAAUACCAGACAAAACAGACCUGUGGCAAAGAGUAUUAUCAGAAACGGGGCCAUUUUAUAAUGAUGGAUACAUGGAUUCAUCAAGAAGACGUGAUAUUCGUAAAUGUGGGUCAAUGUGUAUGUGCCUAAUAACAGAGCUCCUAAAAUGCAUGAAGCAAAAAUUGAAAGGAUAAAAAGAAGAAAUGGACAAUUCCACAAUGGUAGUAGGAGGUUUUAACACCCCACAGGAAGUGGUACAACAAGAGACAGAAAAGAACCGUAAAAAUAUAACCCAAACAACACUAUCUACCACCUUGAUCUAAUUGUUAUUCACGGAAUGUUACAUCCAACGAUGUCAGACUGCACCUUCCUUUCAGUACACACGGUGCUUUUACAACAAAUCAUAUGCUAACCCACAAAACAGCUCUCAAUCAAAAUAAGAUUAUUGAAAUCGUCGAAUAUGUUCUUUUACCACAACAAAAUUAAAUUGCAAGUCAAGAACAGUACGGAUGGUCCCCAACUUUUGAAGAUCCCACUUACAAUUUUUCAACCUCACAAUGGUGCAAAAGUGAUACACAUUCAUUAGAAACCACUAUGAAUUUUGAAUUUUGAUCUUUUCCUGAGCUGCUGCUGUACAGUAUGGUUCUCUGUUGUGACACUGGGCAGCAGCUUUGUGCCACCGUGCCCAGUCAGCCACAUGGUCGCCAGGGUUGACGAUUGAUCCACCUACAACCAUUCUAUACCCAUGCAACCAUUCUGGUUUUGGGUUUUCACUUUCAGUAUGGUAUUGAGUAAAUUAUAUGAGAGAUUAAACUUUAUUAUAAAAUAGGCUUUGCGCUAGAUGAAUUUCUCCCACUGUAGGCUAAUGUAAGUGUUGUGAGCCCAGCUAAGGUCAGGUAGGCUAAGCUAUGAUGUUUGGUAAGUUAGGUGUAUUAAAUGCAUUUUCUGCUUAAUGGUAUUUUCAACUUAUGAUGGGUUCAUGGGGAUGUAACCUCAUCAUAAGUUGAGGAAGAUCGUACAAUAUCUAGAAAGACAUCCCAAAUUUUAAAAUAAACAACUUACUUCUAAAUAAUCUGUGGGGCAAGAAAAAUCAUGAGAGGUUAGGAAAUAUUUAAGACAGAAAAGUAAUGAAUAUACAAUAUAUCAAAAUUUGUGUAAUGCCCCUAACCUAGUGCUUAGAGAAAAUGCAUGGUUUUAUUUUGUUUUAUUUAAGUAUAAUAGACACACAAUGUUACAUUAGUUUCAUAUGUACAACAUAGUGAUACAAGAAGUUUAUAUGUUAUGCUGUGUUCACAAGUGUGGCUACUGGUCUGUCCUGAUACAUCCUGAUACAUCGCUAUUACAAUACCAUUGACUAUGUUCCUUAUGCUGUGCCUUUUAUUCUGGUGGCUUAUUCACUCCAUAACUGGAAGCCUGUAUCUCCCACUCCUCUUCACCUAUUUUGCCCAACCCCCAAACCCACCCCUCUGGCAACCAUCAGUUCUCUGUAUUUACAAGUCUGAUUCUGAAAUGGCUACAUACUGUAUGAUUCUAACUAUAUGACAUUCUAGAAAAGGUAGACCUUUAUAACAUUAAAAUUCUUUAUUAGUUUUGGGGCUCCUAGGUGGUUCAGUUGGUUGAGCAUCCAACUUUGGCUCAGGUCAUGAUCUCAGGGUUCAUGGGUUCAAGUCCUGCAUCAGGCUCUUUGCUGACAGCUCAGAGCCUGGAGCCUGCUGCAGAUUCUGUGUGUCCCUCUCUCUCUGUCCCUCCCCCAUUCACACUCUGUCACUUUCUCUCAAAAAAUAAAUAAACACU
This is a long non-coding RNA of Panthera uncia (snow leopard), 7670 nucleotides long. RefSeq lists it as uncharacterized. NCBI's taxonomy places the organism in Eukaryota, Metazoa, Chordata, Mammalia, Carnivora, Felidae. The record is from RefSeq and is a predicted model, not a curated record. The transcript is spliced from 3 exons.